GACGAACGCUGGCGGCGUGCCUAAUACAUGCAAGUCGAGCGAGCUUGCCUAGAUGAAUUAGGUGCUUGCACCAGAUGAAACUAGAUACAAGCGAGCGGCGGACGGGUGAGUAACACGUGGGUAACCUGCCCAAGAGACUGGGAUAACACCUGGAAACAGAUGCUAAUACCGGAUAACAACACUAGACGCAUGUCUAGAGUUUAAAAGAUGGUUCUGCUAUCACUCUUGGAUGGACCUGCGGUGCAUUAGCUAGUUGGUAAGGCAACGGCUUACCAAGGCAAUGAUGCAUAGCCGAGUUGAGAGACUGAUCGGCCACAUUGGGACUGAGACACGGCCCAAACUCCUACGGGAGGCAGCAGUAGGGAAUCCUCCACAAUGGACGCAAGUCUGAUGGAGCAACGCCGCGUGAGUGAAGAAGGGUUUCGGCUCGUAAAGCUCUGUUGGUAGUGAAGAAAGAUAGAGGUAGUAACUGGCCUUUAUUUGACGGUAAUUACUUAGAAAGUCACGGCUAACUACGUG
This 519-nucleotide ribosomal RNA is filed under the name uncultured bacterium. Its description in RNAcentral is "partial 16S ribosomal RNA". It matches the Rfam family "Bacterial small subunit ribosomal RNA", at positions 28 to 507 of the family's 1533-position model. The record is from RNAcentral.